Molecule: long non-coding RNA, 393 nt
Filed under: Brassica napus (rape)
Lineage: Eukaryota; Viridiplantae; Streptophyta; Magnoliopsida; Brassicales; Brassicaceae
Description: long non-coding RNA (BNAP_LNC023365)
Source: RNAcentral
CUCCUCCGUUACACUUCCAUCCAAAUAUUUAACUUCACCGAUAUUGAAAGGACUUCUAUAGAGGAACUGGUAUUUAGCCACAUUCCGAGCCCCGUAUGUGAUACAAAGUUGGACUCCGUUUGUCCAUUCUUGAACACUCAUCACGACCUCCACAUCAUCAGAAGUUACUAUGUUUGAUGGUUGAGAAGUUGAUUGAAUCCCAUGCAACAUUCCGUCAGGCAGUUGAUAUGUCAAAGCAACGGGGCAUUCAGGUCCAAUAACCAGCUCUUCGCAUAUGAGAGAUGUAAAGGAGUCGAUAUUUUCGUUGGUGCGUGCAACUAUAUACUGCUCCACUACGCCAGAAUCUCCCUCGAAUUGCCAACAACCGGCCGCACUUUUAUUCCACUUUCCAAU